Long non-coding RNA from Pezoporus occidentalis (night parrot), 1196 nucleotides. RefSeq lists it as uncharacterized. The record is from RefSeq and is a predicted model, not a curated record. The transcript is spliced from 2 exons. NCBI's taxonomy places the organism in Eukaryota, Metazoa, Chordata, Aves, Psittaciformes, Psittacidae.
UGUCUGCCCUGGCACACAGGAACACAGGGGAGCUGGGUGAUGUCUGGAUUCAGCUGACUGACAAGGUGGAAGCAACCAGCCACAGUUUCUGCAGCACCCCAGGUCUGUGUGCCAGUGUAGCACCCUGCUAGCUCAGCCACCAGCCCUGCCUGGGCCCUUUCCAGGUACAGACAUGACGUGUGGCACCAGCUCCAAAACACACUGCACAUGACAGCCAGAGCACUGUGAGGCCACCGGGAAGCCUGGGUGGCUGAUGGGGCUGUUAGCACUCUUUCAGCCGUCUAAUGUACAAGUCCUUAUCAGAAAGCCCUGGCUUAAUCUCAGCUCAACUGGAAAAAUGCCGAUGACUGGAAAUGUCAUCAGCUGCCUGUGGGCCAGGCUGGCCCUGAGCUGAUAAGGAGCAACGCGGAAUAAAAAUGUCAGCACAAAACUGGAGAAACACGGAGCCUGGUUGCAUCUCUCCUCCAUCCCGCAGGAAGCCGGGCCCCUCUGCUGCCAGUCGUUCUCUAAAGCCUCAGCAAGAAAACCUGCUCUCUCUGAGGAAGGAGAAAAGUGGCUGAUCUCAGUGCAGCAGAGAAAAAGUGAAACUCCUGCCCCACUGACUCAAAGAGGGAAUUGAAGGAAGGGAAGAAGCAGUCCCCCAUGGUCUCCCCCAAACCACUGCCUUAUACCCAGGGUGCCUGCAGCCACCCAUCACUGUUGCAGCCAGCACACACCCCAUAAACAACAGUGUCAUGAUCCAGGUUUUGGCACAUGCUUCGAGAUGCCUGACCUGUCUAUCAGGGUGCUCUCUCCACUCUGCGUCUGAACGUGCUGCUGGGUGAGAGACGUGCAGAUGUCCCUGGUUAUGGAUGACGGGAGCUAGGGUGCAGCAAAGCAAAGUGACAAGGGAGUGCUGCUGGCUGGGGUCAGAGCUGCCCAUGGCAUGGGCACCCUGGCUGGGUCAGCCCUCACCCUGCAGAGCUGAGCAGUGUGCUGGGCCAGCUCAGACUCACUUGCAGGACAGAGUCAGUCUCUGAUCUACUGCCCUGUUGUCAAAUCAUUAGCUUUUCCGGUUUAAACGCUUGAUAAAAUGGCCCUAUUUUGAAGCCUGCCAGAUGAGCUGCUGCUCGCUGCCCAGGACUGACACUUCCAGCUGCUCUCUGGCAAGAUGCUUUCUCAAAUGAUUAGAAAAAUAAAAGUAAUCAAAGUUGUAA